RNAcentral lists this ribosomal RNA (274 nucleotides) under uncultured bacterium. RNAcentral's name for it is "partial 16S ribosomal RNA". It matches the Rfam family "Bacterial small subunit ribosomal RNA", at positions 523 to 796 of the family's 1533-position model. The record is from RNAcentral.
AUACGGAGGGUGCAAGCGUUAAUCGGAAUUACUGGGCGUAAAGCGCGCGUAGGCGGCUGAUUAAGUCGGAUGUGAAAUCCCUGGGCUCAACCUAGGAACUGCAUCCGAUACUGGUCAGCUAGAGUUUUGGAGAGGUAAGUGGAAUUUCCGGUGUAGCGGUGAAAUGCAUAGAGAUCGGAAGGAACACCAGUGGCGAAGGCGACUUACUGGCCAAAAACUGACGCUGAGGUGCGAAAGCGUGGGUAGCGAACAGGAUUAGAUACCCUAGUAGUCC